This 737-nucleotide ribosomal RNA is filed under the name uncultured bacterium. RNAcentral describes it as "bacterial SSU rRNA". It matches the Rfam family "Bacterial small subunit ribosomal RNA", at positions 28 to 774 of the family's 1533-position model. The record is from RNAcentral.
GAUGAACGCUGGCGGCGUGCUUAACACAUGCAAGUCGAACGGAGUUAUCAAUGAAGCCUAGCGAUUUGAUAACUUAGUGGCGGACGGGUGAGUAACGCGUGGGUAACCUGCCUUACACAGGGGGAUAACAGUUAGAAAUGACUGCUAAUACCGCAUAAGCGCACGGAAUCGCAUGAUUUUGUGUGAAAAGAUUUAUCGGUGUAAGAUGGACCCGCGUCUGAUUAGCUAGUUGGUGAGGUAACGGCCCACCAAGGCGACGAUCAGUAGCCGGCCUGAGAGGGUGAACGGCCACAUUGGGACUGAGACACGGCCCAAACUCCUACGGGAGGCAGCAGUAGGGAAUAUUGGACAAUGGGGGAAACCCUGAUCCAGCGACGCCGCGUGAGUGAAGAAGUAUUUCGGUACGUAAAGCUCUAUCAGCAGGGAAGAAAAUGACGGUACCUGACUAAGAAGCCCCGGCUAACUACGUGCCAGCAGCCGCGGUAAUACGUAGGGGGCAAGCGUUAUCCGGAUUUACUGGGUGUAAAGGGAGCGUAGACGGUUUUGCAAGUCUGAAGUGAAAGCUCGGGGCUCAACCCCGGAACUGCUUUGGAAACUGUAAAACUGGAGUGCAGGAGAGGUAAGCGGAAUUCCUAGUGUAGCGGUGAAAUGCGUAGAUAUUAGGAGGAACACCAGAGGCGAAGGCGGCUUACUGGACUGUAACUGACGUUGAGGCUCGAAGGCGUGGGGAGCAAACA